This 1485-nucleotide ribosomal RNA is filed under the name uncultured Bordetella sp. RNAcentral's name for it is "partial 16S-23S ribosomal RNA intergenic spacer". It matches the Rfam family "Bacterial small subunit ribosomal RNA". Lineage: Bacteria; Pseudomonadati; Pseudomonadota; Betaproteobacteria; Burkholderiales; Alcaligenaceae. The record is from RNAcentral.
AGAUUGAACGCUGGCGGGAUGCUUUACACAUGCAAGUCGAACGGCAGCACGGACUUCGGUCUGCGGCGAGUGGCGAACGGGUGAGAGAAUUCUAUCGAACGUGCCUAGUAGCGGGGGAUAACUACGCGAAAGCGUAGCUAAUACCGCAUACGGCCCUUCGGGGGAAAGCGGGGGACCUUCGGGCCUCGCACUAUUAGAGCGGCCGAUAUCGGAUUAGCUAGUUGCGGGGGUAACGGCUCACUAAGGGCGACGAUCCGUAGCUGGUUUGAGAGGACGACCAGCUACACUGGGACUGGAGACACGGCCCAGACUCUACGGGAGGCAGCAGUGGGGAAUUUUGGACAAUGGGGAAACCCUGAUCCAGCCAUCCUGCGCGUGUGCGAUGAAGGCCUUCGGGUUGUGAAAGCACUUUGGGCAGGGAAAGAAACGGCACGGAUAAUACCCGUGCAACUGACGGUACCCGCAGAAUAAGCACCGGCUAACUACGCCAGCAGUCAUGGUAAUGCAGGGUGCGCGUGUGUUAAUCGGAAUUACUGGGCGUAAAGCGUGCGCAGGGCGGUUCGGAAAGAAAGAUGAAAAAUCCAGAGCUGACCCUUGGAACUGCAUUUUUAACUACUGAGCUAGAGGUGUCAGGGAGGGAGGUGGAAUUCCGCGUGUAGCAGUGAAAUGCGUAGAUAUGCGGAGAACACCGAUGGCGAAGGCAGCCUCCCGGGAUAACACCGACGCUCAUGCACGAAAGCGUGGGGAGCAAACAGGAUUAGAUACUCCUGGUAGUCCACGCCCUAAACGAUGUCAACUAGCUGUUGGGGCCUUCGGGCCUUGGUAGCGCAGCUAACGCGAAGUUGACCGCCUCGGGGAGCAUGGUCGCAAGAUUAAAACUCAAAGGAAUUGACGGGGACCCGCACAAGCGGUGGACGAUGUGGAUUAAUCUGAUGCAACGCGAAAAACCUUACCUACCUUUACAUGUCUGGAAUCCCGAAGAGAUUUGGGAGUGUCUCGCAAGAGAACCGAACACAGGUGCUGCAUGGCUGGGCCGUCAGCUCGUAUCGUGAGAUGUUGGGUUAAGUCCCGCAACGAGUGCAACCUUCGUCAUUAAGUUGCUACGAAAGGGGCACCUGAUGAGACUGCCGGUGACAAACCGGAGGAAGGUGGGGAUGACGUCAAGUCCUCAUGGCCUCUUAUGGGCGUAGGGCUUCACACGUCAUACAAUGAAAGUCGGGACAGAGGGUCGCCAAACGGCGAGGGGGAGCCAAUCCCAGAAACCCGAUCGUAGUCCGGAUCGCAGUCUGCAACUCGACUGCGCGGAAGCUGGAAUCACUAGUAAUCGCGGAUCAGCAUGUCGCGGUGAAUACGUUCCCGGGUCUUGUACACACCUGCCCGUCACACCAUGGGAGUGGGUUUACCAGAAGCGUAGUUAGCUCAACCGUAAGGAGGCGAUUACCACGGUAGGAUCUUUAUGAUCGGGGUGAAGUCGUAACAAGGUAG